RNAcentral lists this ribosomal RNA (46 nucleotides) under Cordyceps fumosorosea. RNAcentral describes it as "28S ribosomal RNA". RNAcentral also lists the same sequence under 7 other names. The record is from RNAcentral. Lineage: Eukaryota; Fungi; Ascomycota; Sordariomycetes; Hypocreales; Cordycipitaceae.
UUGACCUCGGAUCAGGUAGGACUACCCGCUGAACUUAAGCAUAUCA